RNAcentral lists this ribosomal RNA (510 nucleotides) under uncultured bacterium. Its description in RNAcentral is "partial 16S ribosomal RNA". It matches the Rfam family "Bacterial small subunit ribosomal RNA", at positions 28 to 507 of the family's 1533-position model. The record is from RNAcentral.
GACGAACGCUGGCGGCGUGCUUAACACAUGCAAGUCGAACGAAGAGCGAUGGAAGCUUGCUUCUAUCAAUCUUAGUGGCGAACGGGUGAGUAACGCGUAAUCAACCUGCCCUUCAGAGGGGGACAACAGUUGGAAACGACUGCUAAUACCGCAUACGAUCUAAUCUCGGCAUCGAGGAUAGAUGAAAGGUGGCCUCUACAUGUAAGCUAUCACUGAAGGAGGGGAUUGCGUCUGAUUAGCUAGUUGGAGGGGUAACGGCCCACCAAGGCGAUGAUCAGUAGCCGGUCUGAGAGGAUGAACGGCUACAUUGGGACUGAGACACGGCCCAGACUCCUACGGGAGGCAGCAGUGGGGAAUCUUCCGCAAUGGACGAAAGUCUGACGGAGCAACGCCGCGUGAGCGAUGACGGCCUUCGGGUUGUAAAGCUCUGUUAAUCGGGACGAAAGGCCUUCUUGCGAAUAGUGAGAAGGAUUGACGGUACCGGAAGAGAAAGCCACGGCUAACUACGUG